Molecule: long non-coding RNA, 365 nt
Filed under: Phoenix dactylifera (date palm)
Lineage: Eukaryota; Viridiplantae; Streptophyta; Magnoliopsida; Arecales; Arecaceae
Description: long non-coding RNA (PDAC_LNC002707)
Source: RNAcentral
GGACCACCCAUUCCAAUAGUUGCAACUGACUCAUCAUUAUUGUAUGACAAUUCCAAUGGCCGAUACGCACCAGUGCGCGCACGUGCCUCCAAUGUAUAUAGACACAUUGGACUCAUUAUCACACAACUAAUGGGAGGCUAUGACGUGGUCAUCUCCAUUAACCAUAUCAUUUUAUGGACCUAAUAAUUUAGAAGAUUUUAUAAUAAAAAGCUGACUCAAUCCAAAUCCUCCCACUGACUUCAUAAGUCAGGUAUCAUAGGAAAUAGAUUCAAGUCAGUGCACCUAAAUCAGUCCAACUGAUUUUCUUACAGGCAUGGGUCAAUUAGAGUCAAUCAGAGAUCUGAUCAAAAGAGAUUCACCAAGAU